GCCUGGGUGGCUCAGUUGGUUAGGCAGCUGACUUCAGCUCAGGUCAUGAUCUCGCGGUCUGUGGGUUCGAGCCCCGCACCGGGCU
RNAcentral lists this transfer RNA (85 nucleotides) under Felis catus (domestic cat). It matches the Rfam family "tRNA". Rfam says of the family: Transfer RNA (tRNA) molecules are approximately 80 nucleotides in length. Their secondary structure includes four short double-helical elements and three loops (D, anti-codon, and T loops). Lineage: Eukaryota; Metazoa; Chordata; Mammalia; Carnivora; Felidae. The record is from Rfam by way of RNAcentral.